GUCAGGAUGGCCGAGUGGUAUAAGGCGCCAGACUCAAGGCUCAUAUCCUUCCCAGGCUCUGGGUGUUCUGGUCUCCGAACGGAGGCAUGGGUUCAAAUCCCACUUCUGACA
RNAcentral lists this transfer RNA (111 nucleotides) under Podarcis lilfordi (Lilford's wall lizard). It matches the Rfam family "tRNA". Rfam says of the family: Transfer RNA (tRNA) molecules are approximately 80 nucleotides in length. Their secondary structure includes four short double-helical elements and three loops (D, anti-codon, and T loops). Further hydrogen bonds mediate the characteristic L-shaped molecular structure. tRNAs have two regions of fundamental functional importance: the anti-codon, which is responsible for specific mRNA codon recognition, and the 3' end, to which the tRNAs corresponding amino acid is attached (by aminoacyl-tRNA synthetases). tRNAs cope with the degeneracy of the genetic code in two manners: having more than one tRNA (with a specific anti-codon) for a particular amino acid; and 'wobble' base-pairing, i.e. permitting non-standard base-pairing at the 3rd anti-codon position. The record is from Rfam by way of RNAcentral. Lineage: Eukaryota; Metazoa; Chordata; Lepidosauria; Squamata; Lacertidae.